CCUACGGGAGGCAGCAGUGGGGAAUUUUGGACAAUGGGCGCAAGCCUGAUCCAGCAAUGCCGCGUGCAGGAUGAAGGCCUUCGGGUUGUAAACUGCUUUUGUACGGAACGAAAAAGUCUGCCCUAAUACGGUGGGCCCAUGACGGUACCGUAAGAAUAAGCACCGGCUAACUACGUGCCAGCAGCCGCGGUAAUACGUAGGGUGCGAGCGUUAAUCGGAAUUACUGGGCGUAAAGCGUGCGCAGGCGGUUAUAUAAGACAGAUGUGAAAUCCCCGGGCUCAACCUGGGACCUGCAUUUGUGACUGUAUAGCUAGAGUACGGUAGAGGGGGAUGGAAUUCCGCGUGUAGCAGUGAAAUGCGUAGAUAUGCGGAGGAACACCGAUGGCGAAGGCAAUCCCCUGGACCUGUACUGACGCUCAUGCACGAAAGCGUGGGGAGCAAACAGGAUUAGAUACCCUGGUAGUCCACGCCCUAAACGAUGUCAACUGGUUGUUGGGUCUUCACUGACUCAGUAACGAAGCUAACGCGUGAAGUUGACCGCCUGGGGAGUCGGCCGCAAGGUUGAAACUUCAAAGGAAUUGACGGCUGAGACGNGCGAGACGACGACGAGGGAGGAGG
This 618-nucleotide ribosomal RNA is filed under the name uncultured bacterium. RNAcentral's name for it is "bacterial SSU rRNA". It matches the Rfam family "Bacterial small subunit ribosomal RNA", at positions 338 to 948 of the family's 1533-position model. The record is from RNAcentral.